Molecule: long non-coding RNA, 955 nt
Organism: Diabrotica virgifera virgifera (western corn rootworm)
Lineage: Eukaryota; Metazoa; Arthropoda; Insecta; Coleoptera; Chrysomelidae
Exons: 3
Source: RefSeq, a predicted model, not a curated record
UCUGGUUGGCACAUAAACUAACAAAGAGGUUAUGUUUGUAGGUAUCUAUUUUUCAAUGAUUUUUCAUUGUUUAUAAUCAUCGUAUUUUGUCUAUUUUGGAUUCAUUUGGAUUUCGUUUCCUGUUUUUGUGCACUUUAUAAACUUAACCACAAUGCAAAAUGAUUAUUUAAGGAAAUUAUUAUUGGAAACUUCAGAUGUUGCGAGAAAGAUAUUUAUUGAAGCUGAAAAUAAUUGGGGAUUUAGAUCCAUACGCAAUUCAGUCAGAAUUGGAUUUUACAGUUAAGUGCAGUCCAUCAAGUUACUAUUAUAGAUAUUUAUACAUAUUUGGUGGAGUCUCACAGUUGCUACUCUAAGCAGCAGAUGAAAGCAUACAAAAGCCUUCAGGCACAUAAAUAUUUUACAGCUGGAUUUGUUUUGAAUGGAGUAAAAAUUGUUAAUGAUUUCCUGAUUUCCAUAUUAUUGUAGGAAAGGUGAAGCAUUUCCAAAAAGCUAAUGCUAAACGACUAAAUGCUUGGGUGGGGUGAUAGCCAGUUCUGAUGACAUAGCAAAUGCACAUUGUAUGCAUAUGGCCGGUAAUAGUAAAGUAUGCCCAGGGCAAGACAGACGAAGAAGAACCCAAUGCAUGUACAUAUGUUACAGCUACAUGGUUUGGAGAUAGCAACAUAUGCAUUCUCUGAUGAAAAACUAAUGAGUUUUGAAACUGUUCGGUCAGAGUGCUUGUUGCGCUCACUAAACGAACUGAAAUAUGAGAUGGCUUUGGCAUUGUGUUGCAGCGAUAUGAAAAUGGUUAUUCAUUUUUAAUUAUAAUGUACUUCUUCAUCAUGAGUAAUUAUGUAUUGGUCUUUUAAAUGUGUAUUUAUUUUUGUAAUUAGUAUCAACUUGUAAUGAUAAUAUACACUUAUCGUUUAAGGUAUGACUAUGUUUAGACUCUAAAAUAAAUGUUUUAAAAAUCGAA